UACAGUUUUGGUCCUAGACUUACUGUUGUCUAUAGCCCUAAUUACACAUGCUAGCAUCCACAUCCCUGUGCCUAAGCCCACCACCUGCUACUUACCAGGUCAGGAGCAGAUAUCAGGCACACACAAGUAGCCCAAAACAUCUAGCCUUUGCCACACCCACACGGAACUCAGCAGUGAUCAACAUUAAGCAAUAAGCCCCUGCUUGACUUAGCUACGGCCUAACCAAGGGUCGGUAAACUCCGUGCCAGCCACCGCGGUUACACGAAGGACCCAAGAACAAACCCCACGGCGUAAAAUGUGACUAAAGACCUUCUCACUUAAUGGGACAAAAACUGUAAUAAAGUCGUAAAACACUUAUAUAUACAGGCUCUGCCCCAAACAACAGAAUAACUUGACCCCACGAAAGCUGGGGUACAAACUAGGAUUAGAUACCCUACUAUGCCCAGCCAUAAACCUCAGCAGUCCCCCCACCAACUGCCCGCCAGAGGAUUACAGGCAAAAGCCUAAAACCCUAAGGACUUGACGGUGCUCCGCACCCACCUAGAGGAGCCUGUCCUAUAAUCGAUACUCCACGAUACACCCGACCCCCUCUUGCACCCAUGCCGCCUAUAUACCGCCGUCACCAGCCUACCUUAUGACAGAUCCUACAGUAGGCAAAAUAUUCAACCACUAACACGUCAGGUCAAGGUGUAGCUAACGAGGGGGACAGAGAUGGGCUACAUUUUCUAAAAUAGAAAAUCACCACAAACAGCAUGAAAACCUGUUAGAAGGCGGAUUUAGCAGUAAAUUUAGGUAAGACUUGCCUAAUUGAAGCCCGCCCCGGAGCGCGUACACACCGCCCGUCACCCUCUUCGAACCACACAUACUAAUACAUAAAAUUUUUCCCCCAAAAAGACGAGGUAAGUCGUAACAUGGUAAGUGUACCGGAAGGUGCACUUGGCUAAAA
RNAcentral lists this non-coding RNA (946 nucleotides) under Goggia lineata. Its description in RNAcentral is "12S ribosomal RNA". It matches the Rfam family "Bacterial small subunit ribosomal RNA". The record is from RNAcentral. Lineage: Eukaryota; Metazoa; Chordata; Lepidosauria; Squamata; Gekkonidae.